GCACCUAUCGUCUAGCGGUUAGGACACCACUCUUUCACAGUGGGAACACGAGUUCGAACCUCGUUGGGUGUACCA
This 75-nucleotide transfer RNA is filed under the name Klebsiella phage vB_Kpn_3. Its description in RNAcentral is "tRNA-Gln". It matches the Rfam family "tRNA". Rfam says of the family: Transfer RNA (tRNA) molecules are approximately 80 nucleotides in length. Their secondary structure includes four short double-helical elements and three loops (D, anti-codon, and T loops). Lineage: Duplodnaviria; Heunggongvirae; Uroviricota; Caudoviricetes; Demerecviridae. The record is from RNAcentral.